Molecule: ribosomal RNA, 253 nt
Filed under: uncultured bacterium
Lineage: Bacteria
Description: partial 16S ribosomal RNA
Rfam family: Bacterial small subunit ribosomal RNA
Source: RNAcentral
UACGGAGGGUGCAAACGUUGUCCGGAAUCACUGGGCGUAAAGCGCAUGUAGGUGGCUUAGCAAGUGAGCGAUUAAAGACCGACGCCUAACGUCGGGCAGGUUGCUCAUACUACUAGGCUUGAGUAUGACAGGGGUAAGCGGAACUUUAGGUGUAGGAGUGAAAUCCGUAGAUAUCUAAAGGAACACCAAUGGCGAAGGCAGCUUACUGGGUCAUCACUGACACUGAGAUGCGAAAGUGUGGGGAGCAAACGGG